This 301-nucleotide ribosomal RNA is filed under the name uncultured bacterium. RNAcentral's name for it is "partial 16S ribosomal RNA". It matches the Rfam family "Bacterial small subunit ribosomal RNA", at positions 509 to 809 of the family's 1533-position model. The record is from RNAcentral.
CAGUAGCCGCGGGAAUACAGAGGGUGCGAGCGUUAAUCGGAUUUACUGGGCGUAAAGCGUGCGUAGGCGGCUUCUUAAGUCGGAUGUGAAAUCCCUGAGCUUAACUUAGGAAUUGCAUUCGAUACUGGGAAGCUAGAGUAUGGGAGAGGAUGGUAGAAUUCCAGGUGUAGCGGUGAAAUGCGUAGAGAUCUGGAGGAAUACCGAUGGCGAAGGCAGCCAUCUGGCCUAAUACUGACGCUGAGGUACGAAAGCAUGGGGAGCAAACAGGAUUAGAGACCCGUGUAGUCCCUGUCUCUUAUAA